Sciurus vulgaris (Eurasian red squirrel) is the source of this 103-nucleotide small nucleolar RNA. The record is from Ensembl. NCBI's taxonomy places the organism in Eukaryota, Metazoa, Chordata, Mammalia, Rodentia, Sciuridae.
AUUCGUCUGCAGUUCAUACACAUGAUGAUUGGGUUUUGCACUGUUGUAAGAUGUGCUUUCCUCAAACCUCAUUACAGCAUCAGCACAUUACCCCCAUCUGAUG